This is a long non-coding RNA of Bradysia coprophila, 1777 nucleotides long. The record is from RefSeq and is a predicted model, not a curated record. Lineage: Eukaryota; Metazoa; Arthropoda; Insecta; Diptera; Sciaridae.
UUUCUUGCGUCCGUAGUUCAAUGAAUAUUAAUGAAGCAUUUGUGCAAAGCAAUCUCAUAGUACCAAAAAUUAUUACAAAAUUAACUGGGAAAUGGUCAGAAUUGUCACAUAUAACUGAACCGCAAGCGCUGCAUUAAAAUUUAAUUUUUGAACAAUGCGUCGUGGAAUCUCGGUUAAAAACUUGGUUCCUUACUUUGUGAUGCUUGUGUGAUUAAUAGUAGAUUACGUACUAGUUGGGAACGUUUAUUUUGCCGAGUAUGAGGGUGCAGCCCGAACCGAAGGUAAGAGCUGCAAUCAUACAAGGGAAAAUAUGAAGUUUCAAAGAGUUAAGUCAGUUAGUUAAUGCCCCUCGGGAACAUUAAACAACUAAAACUGUUUUGAGUUUGAAUUCUCCUCUUCGAUUUUUUAUUGCCACUACCACCUCAAUGGUGUCCAUCUAAAAUACCGAUCGAAAAUGUGCCAUAAUUGAAAAACGACAAAGCUCUAUCGAGAUAUAAAUAUGAAAUCUGUUAACUUCUUCUGUAUUUUGUGUUAAAGUAUCUCUAGAAUUGAUAAUAGUGUAAAUAAUAAGCGAUAAACGCAUAGAAAGUAGAGUUGUCGUGUUAAUUUUGUUGAUCCGAGGUGAAGCCGAUGACAAUAUAAACACGAAAACGAGACAUUUCAUUUUUAUCGCGAGUUAUGUAUCGAGAAAAGUGGUCGAAACAAAAAAUAGUUAUUUGUGGGUUGUCACUUGAGGCCGAGUGUGACUACACAUAUCUUGUGCCUAGAAAAGCAUUUAUCACCAAGUUGCAUACAACAUUUUUCUUAAAAAACGCAACGAAAAUGUCACUUUUCGUCACUGGGUUGAGAAAAGUACUGUUUUCAACGCAUGUAAUGUGUUAAGCAUUUUACAUGCUACAUUGCUACAUGCAUGCGUUGAAAACAGUAUUUUUCAUAAUUGUUUCGACGCACUUAGCAUGUAAAAAUGAAGUCAUGUUCCCGUGUGAUUGACUUCGCCUUUGGAGGCAUACAAAACUGGAAAUUUUUGAAAAAGUCCUAUUUCCGCGACAAGUAUGUUGAGCCAAACUUGAUAAUCACGCAAAAACAUUACUACAUUUCGAUUUAUUUUCCUAACUCAAUUCGUCUUGUUGUCUCUGGUGUUGUUAUAAUGCCAUUUUCGACCCUACGAGAAACCAACGCAUUUAAAUGACAAUUAAUUCAUUAGUUUUAACGAACGCUAUCUAAAAGAAUUCUAGCUAGAGCCUAUUUUUUAUCUUCACUGUCCUACCAUAUAAGACAAGACGUUUCUAAAAGGUUAAUGAAACCCAGAACAACAUAAAUUUUAUAAACGAAAAGACAAAAACAUAUUGAAAGAACUAUAAUAAUUGCUAAAUUGUGAGUAAAUGAAAGAUCAAUAAAAUGUCCCUUAAAAGCACUAUAAACAAAGUUGCGAGAGACAAUAAAAAUAACAUAGGAAGUGCUAAAAAAAUAAUGAAAAAACUUUUAUUUUUUAAAAAGAAAAGAAAAAAACUUGAACCUGAUAUUAUUAUUGUGCUAGAAAUGAGUAUAUUUUAUUAGAAUGUACUAUAAACAACAACUUGUAAUCCUAGAUAAUUAGAUCCUAGAGAAACUAUAUAUAUACCUAAACAAAACUACUCUUUAAUAUGAAGAAAAAAUAUUGUUAUAUUCUGUGAUGCUAAAGAUUUAAGUUUCAACAUUUAGUUUCCUUUUCGUAAACAUAUUGAGCAUUGAUUUUUUUCUAGCCAUUUGACUUGUAAGUCGGAAUAUUAUAUUAAAU